UUAAGCGACUAAGCGUACACGGUGGAUGCCCUGGCAGUCAGAGGCGAUGAAGGACGUGCUAAUCUGCGAUAAGCGUCGGUAAGGUGAUAUGAACCGUUAUAACCGGCGAUUUCCGAAUGGGGAAACCCAGUGUGUUUCGACACACUAUCAUUAACUGAAUCCAUAGGUUAAUGAGGCGAACCGGGGGAACUGAAACAUCUAAGUACCCCGAGGAAAAGAAAUCAACCGAGAUUCCCCCAGUAGCGGCGAGCGAACGGGGAGCAGCCCAGAGCCUGAAUCAGUGUGUGUGUUAGUGGAAGCGUCUGGAAAGGCGCGCGAUACAGGGUGACAGCCCCGUACACAAAAAUGCACAUGCUGUGAGCUCGAUGAGUAGGGCGGGACACGUGGUAUCCUGUCUGAAUAUGGGGGGACCAUCCUCCAAGGCUAAAUACUCCUGACUGACCGAUAGUGAACCAGUACCGUGAGGGAAAGGCGAAAAGAACCCCGGCGAGGGGAGUGAAAAAGAACCUGAAACCGUGUACGUACAAGCAGUGGGAGCACGCUUAGGCGUGUGACUGCGUACCUUUUGUAUAAUGGGUCAGCGACUUAUAUUCUGUAGCAAGGUUAACCGAAUAGGGGAGCCGAAGGGAAACCGAGUCUUAACUGGGCGUUAAGUUGCAGGGUAUAGACCCGAAACCCGGUGAUCUAGCCAUGGGCAGGUUGAAGGUUGGGUAACACUAACUGGAGGACCGAACCGACUAAUGUUGAAAAAUUAGCGGAUGACUUGUGGCUGGGGGUGAAAGGCCAAUCAAACCGGGAGAUAGCUGGUUCUCCCCGAAAGCUAUUUAGGUAGCGCCUCGUGAAUUCAUCUCCGGGGGUAGAGCACUGUUUCGGCAAGGGGGUCAUCCCGACUUACCAACCCGAUGCAAACUGCGAAUACCGGAGAAUGUUAUCACGGGAGACACACGGCGGGUGCUAACGUCCGUCGUGAAGAGGGAAACAACCCAGACCGCCAGCUAAGGUCCCAAAGUCAUGGUUAAGUGGGAAACGAUGUGGGAAGGCCCAGACAGCCAGGAUGUUGGCUUAGAAGCAGCCAUCAUUUAAAGAAAGCGUAAUAGCUCACUGGUCGAGUCGGCCUGCGCGGAAGAUGUAACGGGGCUAAACCAUGCACCGAAGCUGCGGCAGCGACGCUUAUGCGUUGUUGGGUAGGGGAGCGUUCUGUAAGCCUGCGAAGGUGUGCUGUGAGGCAUGCUGGAGGUAUCAGAAGUGCGAAUGCUGACAUAAGUAACGAUAAAGCGGGUGAAAAGCCCGCUCGCCGGAAGACCAAGGGUUCCUGUCCAACGUUAAUCGGGGCAGGGUGAGUCGACCCCUAAGGCGAGGCCGAAAGGCGUAGUCGAUGGGAAACAGGUUAAUAUUCCUGUACUUGGUGUUACUGCGAAGGGGGGACGGAGAAGGCUAUGUUGGCCGGGCGACGGUUGUCCCGGUUUAAGCGUGUAGGCUGGUUUUCCAGGCAAAUCCGGAAAAUCAAGGCUGAGGCGUGAUGACGAGGCACUACGGUGCUGAAGCAACAAAUGCCCUGCUUCCAGGAAAAGCCUCUAAGCAUCAGGUAACAUCAAAUCGUACCCCAAACCGACACAGGUGGUCAGGUAGAGAAUACCAAGGCGCUUGAGAGAACUCGGGUGAAGGAACUAGGCAAAAUGGUGCCGUAACUUCGGGAGAAGGCACGCUGAUAUGUAGGUGAAGUCCCUCGCGGAUGGAGCUGAAAUCAGUCGAAGAUACCAGCUGGCUGCAACUGUUUAUUAAAAACACAGCACUGUGCAAACACGAAAGUGGACGUAUACGGUGUGACGCCUGCCCGGUGCCGGAAGGUUAAUUGAUGGGGUUAGCGCAAGCGAAGCUCUUGAUCGAAGCCCCGGUAAACGGCGGCCGUAACUAUAACGGUCCUAAGGUAGCGAAAUUCCUUGUCGGGUAAGUUCCGACCUGCACGAAUGGCGUAAUGAUGGCCAGGCUGUCUCCACCCGAGACUCAGUGAAAUUGAACUCGCUGUGAAGAUGCAGUGUACCCGCGGCAAGACGGAAAGACCCCGUGAACCUUUACUAUAGCUUGACACUGAACAUUGAGCCUUGAUGUGUAGGAUAGGUGGGAGGCUUUGAAGUGUGGACGCCAGUCUGCAUGGAGCCGACCUUGAAAUACCACCCUUUAAUGUUUGAUGUUCUAACGUUGACCCGUAAUCCGGGUUGCGGACAGUGUCUGGUGGGUAGUUUGACUGGGGCGGUCUCCUCCUAAAGAGUAACGGAGGAGCACGAAGGUUGGCUAAUCCUGGUCGGACAUCAGGAGGUUAGUGCAAUGGCAUAAGCCAGCUUGACUGCGAGCGUGACGGCGCGAGCAGGUGCGAAAGCAGGUCAUAGUGAUCCGGUGGUUCUGAAUGGAAGGGCCAUCGCUCAACGGAUAAAAGGUACUCCGGGGAUAACAGGCUGAUACCGCCCAAGAGUUCAUAUCGACGGCGGUGUUUGGCACCUCGAUGUCGGCUCAUCACAUCCUGGGGCUGAAGUAGGUCCCAAGGGUAUGGCUGUUCGCCAUUUAAAGUGGUACGCGAGCUGGGUUUAGAACGUCGUGAGACAGUUCGGUCCCUAUCUGCCGUGGGCGCUGGAGAAUUGAGGGGGGCUGCUCCUAGUACGAGAGGACCGGAGUGGACGCAUCACUGGUGUUCGGGUUGUCAUGCCAAUGGCACUGCCCGGUAGCUAAAUGCGGAAGAGAUAAGUGCUGAAAGCAUCUAAGCACGAAACUUGCCCCGAGAUGAGUUCUCCCUGACUCCUUGAGAGUCCUGAAGGAACGUUGAAGACGACGACGUUGAUAGGCCGGAUGUGUAAGCGCAGCGAUGCGUUGAGCUAACCGGUACUAAUGAACCGUGAGGCUUAACCUU
Molecule: ribosomal RNA, 2902 nt
Filed under: Escherichia coli
Lineage: Bacteria; Pseudomonadati; Pseudomonadota; Gammaproteobacteria; Enterobacterales; Enterobacteriaceae
Description: bacterial LSU rRNA
Rfam family: Bacterial large subunit ribosomal RNA
Source: RNAcentral